GUUCCUGUAGUUGAGGUAUCAACGGCGGCUUUUCAGGCCGCAGACCUUGGAGAUUGACCAAGUAGGAAUU
This 70-nucleotide transfer RNA is filed under the name Ciconia maguari. Its description in RNAcentral is "tRNA-Glu". The record is from RNAcentral. Lineage: Eukaryota; Metazoa; Chordata; Aves; Ciconiiformes; Ciconiidae.